CCUACGGGAGGCAGCAGUAGGGAAUAUUGCUCAAUGGGGGAAACCCUGAAGCAGCAACGCCGCGUGGAGGAUGAAGGUUUUCGGAUUGUAAACUCCUUUUGUUAGAGAAGAUAAUGACGGUAUCUAACGAAUAAGCACCGGCUAACUCCGUGCCAGCAGCCGCGGUCAUACGGAGGGUGCAAGCGUUACUCGGAAUCACUGGGCGUAAAGAGCGCGUAGGCGGGAUAGCAAGUCAGAUGUGAAAUCCUAUGGCUUAACCAUAGAACUGCAUUUGAAACUGUUAUUCUAGAGUAUGGGAGAGGUAGGUGGAAUUCUUGGUGUAGGGGUAAAAUCCGUAGAGAUCAAGAGGAAUACUCAUUGCGAAGGCGACCUGCUAGAACAUAACUGACGCUGAUGCGCGAAAGCGUGGGGAGCAAACAGGAUUAGAUAUCCCAGUAGUC
Molecule: ribosomal RNA, 440 nt
Filed under: uncultured bacterium
Lineage: Bacteria
Description: partial 16S ribosomal RNA
Rfam family: Bacterial small subunit ribosomal RNA
Source: RNAcentral